Epinephelus moara (kelp grouper) is the source of this 572-nucleotide long non-coding RNA. RefSeq lists it as uncharacterized. Lineage: Eukaryota; Metazoa; Chordata; Actinopteri; Perciformes; Serranidae. The record is from RefSeq and is a predicted model, not a curated record. The transcript is spliced from 4 exons.
GUUCGGUUUUAUGAGCUUUUUCUGAGAUUUGAAGAUUAAAAAUGGUCAAACGGUGUGCAUGGGGUACAUGCAACUCUGACACAAGGUAUCCUGAGAGGCUGGGCGACCAGGUGUAUUUUUUACACUUUAAACCACAUCUCAACCGAGAAAAGUGUCUCCUUUGGAUAAAGUUGUGUGGUAACGUUAGACCACAACAUCAACUCAACGUGAAUAAGAUUAACAAUGAUGUCUACAUCUGUUCUAAGACAGACACAUGUGACCAGGAGGACGAUCAGGAUGAAAGCAGACACCCCCAGUAUGAUCCACAUCCAGAGGUCGAUGAUGGGGAGGCCGUCUGUGGGAGCUCGGCGUACAAGAAAAUGAGCGCUGAGCUUCCUGUGACAAGACACAACUGAGCUUGAUGAACUUUCAGAUUCAAUCUCCAACCACAGUUUACAAGGUCGACGCCCAGACGGGAGCAGCUCAAACUCUGAGUGUAAUAGAUGUGAAGCAUCAGCAACUGUAUGUUUGGCCCUCCUGCGUACAGCACUGUCAGACACAUGACAGAGUUGUUUCUGUGACGUGCCGAUCAC